Molecule: ribosomal RNA, 574 nt
Filed under: uncultured bacterium
Lineage: Bacteria
Description: bacterial SSU rRNA
Rfam family: Bacterial small subunit ribosomal RNA
Source: RNAcentral
CCUACGGGAGGCAGCAGUGGGGAAUUUUGGACAAUGGGCGCAAGCCUGAUCCAGCAAUGCCGCGUGAGUGAAGAAGGCCUUCGGGUUGUAAAGCUCUUUUGUCAGGGAAGAAACGGCUGAGGUUAAUACCUUUGGCUAAUGACGGUACCUGAAGAAUAAGCACCGGCUAACUACGUGCCAGCAGCCGCGGUAAUACGUAGGGUGCAAGCGUUAAUCGGAAUUACUGGGCGUAAAGCGUGCGCAGGCGGUUUUGUAAGUCUGACGUGAAAUCCCCGGGCUCAACCUGGGAAUUGCGUUGGAGACUGCAAGGCUGGAGUCUGGCAGAGGGGGGUAGAAUUCCACGUGUGGCAGUGAAAUGCGUAGAGAUGUGGAGGAACACCGAUGGCGAAGGCAGCCCCCUGGGUCAAGACUGACGCUCAUGCACGAAAGCGUGGGGAGCAAACAGGAUUAGAUACCCUGGUAGUCCACGCCCUAAACGAUGUCUACUAGUUGUCGGGUCUUAAUUGACUUGGUAACGCAGCUAACGCGUGAAGUAGACCGCCUGGGGGUACGUGCAGNUAAACUAAGAUUGACG